This 1219-nucleotide ribosomal RNA is filed under the name metagenome. RNAcentral's name for it is "bacterial SSU rRNA". It matches the Rfam family "Bacterial small subunit ribosomal RNA", at positions 8 to 1228 of the family's 1533-position model. The record is from RNAcentral.
AGAGUUUGAUCCUGGCUCAGAACGAACGCUGGCGGCGUGCUUAAUACAUGCAAGUCGAACGUGAUGUGUAGCAAUACACUGAAAGUGGCGAACGGGUGAGUAACACGUAAGUAAUCUGCCUUUAAGAUUGGGAUAACCCUGCCAACGCGGGGCUAAUACCGGAUGUGGUCCAAGUAACGCAUGUUAUUUGGAUUAAAGGAGCAAUCCGCUUAAAGAUGAACUUGCGGCCCAUUAGCUAGUUGGCGGGGUAAUGGCCCACCAAGGCAACGAUGGGUAGCCGGCCUGAGAGGGUGAACGGCCACAUUGGGACUGAGAUACGGCCCAGACUCCUACGGGAGGCAGCAGUAGGGAAUUUUGCGCAAUGGACGAAAGUCUGACGCAGCAACGCCGCGUGAAGGAUGAAGGCUCUCGGGUCGUAAACUUCUGUUGGAUGGGAAAAAACUCCCGCAAGGGACUGAUGGUACCAUUCGAGUAAGCACCGGCUAACUACGUGCCAGCAGCCGCGGUAAUACGUAGGGUGCAAGCGUUGUUCGGAAUCACUGGGCGUAAAGAGAGCGUAGGCGGGACUGUAAGUUAGAAGUUUAAUACAUGGGCUCAACCCAUGAUCUGCUUUUAAUACUGCAGUUCUUGAGUAUGGGAGAGGGCGAUGGAAUUUCAGGUGUAGCGGUGGAAUGCGUAGAUAUCUGAAAGAACACCAGUAGCGAAGGCGGUCGCCUGGCCCAAUACUGACGCUGAGGCUCGAAAGCUAGGGGAGCAAACAGGAUUAGAUACCCUGGUAGUCCUAGCCGUAAACGAUGAACACUAGUUGCUGGGGGAGUCAAUCUUUUCAGUGACGAAGCUAACGCAUUAAGUGUUCCGCCUGGGAAGUACGUCCGCAAGGAUGAAACUCAAAGGAAUUGACGGGGGCCCGCACAAGCGGUGGAGCAUGUGCUUUAAUUCGAUGCAACGCGAAGAACCUUACCUAGGCUUGACAUGGGGGUGAAAUUCCGUAGAAAUAUGGAACCUUCCGCAAGGAACACCCCACACAGGUGCUGCAUGGUUGUCGUCAGCUCGUGUCGUGAGAUGUUGGGUUAAGUCCCGCAACGAGCGCAACCCUCGUCCUUAGUUGCUAACAGGUAAUGCUGAGAACUCUAAGGAGACUGCCUGGUUUGACCAGGAGGAAGGUGGGGAUGACGUCAAAUCCUCAUGGCCCUUACGCCUAGGGCUAGACACGUGCUAC